GAAAUGCGAUAAGUAAUGUGAAUUGCAGAAUUCAGUGAGUCAUCGAAUCUUUGAACGCACAUUGCGCCCGCCAGUAUUCUGGCGGGCAUGCCUGUUCGAGCGUCAUUUCAACCAUCAAGCCCCCGGCUUGUGUUGGGGACCUGCGGCUGCCCGCAGGCCCUGAAAAACAGUGGCGGGCUCGCUGUCACACCGAGCGUAGUAGCAUACAUUCUCGCUCAGGGCGUGCUGCGGGUUCCGGCCGUUAAACGACCUUCAUAACCCAAGGUUGACCUCGGAUCAGGUAGGAAGACCCGCUGAACUGAAG
This 304-nucleotide unclassified non-coding RNA is filed under the name plant metagenome. Its description in RNAcentral is "partial contains 5.8S ribosomal RNA, internal transcribed spacer 2, and large subunit ribosomal RNA". The stretch from base 1 to 105 matches the Rfam family "5.8S ribosomal RNA", at positions 50 to 154 of the family's 154-position model. The record is from RNAcentral.